Molecule: ribosomal RNA, 375 nt
Filed under: uncultured bacterium
Lineage: Bacteria
Description: partial 16S ribosomal RNA
Rfam family: Bacterial small subunit ribosomal RNA
Source: RNAcentral
UGGGGAAUUUUGGACAAUGGGCGAAAGCCUGAUCCAGCAAUGCCGCGUGUGUGAAGAAGGCCUUCGGGUUGUAAAGCACUUUUGUCCGGAAAGAAAUCCUUGGCUCUAAUACAGUCGGGGGAUGACGGUACCGGAAGAAUAAGCACCGGCUAACUACGUGCCAGCAGCCGCGGUAAUACGUAGGGUGCAAGCGUUAAUCGGAAUUACUGGGCGUAAAGCGUGCGCAGGCGGUUUGCUAAGACCGAUGUGAAAUCCCGGCGUCAACCUGGAACUGCAUUGGUGACUGGCAGGCUAGAGUAUGGCAGAGGGGUGAGAAUUACCACGUGUAGCAGUGAAAUGCGUAGAGAUGUGGAGGAAUACCGAUGGCGAAGGCAG